This 855-nucleotide ribosomal RNA is filed under the name uncultured Bacillota bacterium. RNAcentral's name for it is "bacterial SSU rRNA". It matches the Rfam family "Bacterial small subunit ribosomal RNA", at positions 58 to 911 of the family's 1533-position model. Lineage: Bacteria; Bacillati; Bacillota. The record is from RNAcentral.
CAAGUCGAGCGAGGCGUCCCGCAAGGGACAGUCGAGCGGCGAACGGGUGAGUAACGCGUGGAUAACCUGCCCUGAGGUGUGGAACAACCAGGGGAAACUCUGGCUAAUACCGCAUGAUACCGAGAGGUCAAAGGGGGCUCGCAAGGGCUCUCGCCACAGGAGGGGUCCGCGUCCGAUUAGCUAGUUGGUAGGGUAAUGGCCUACCAAGGCGACGAUCGGUAGCCGGCCUGAGAGGGUGAUCGGCCACACUGGAACUGAGACACGGUCCAGACUCCUACGGGAGGCAGCAGUGGGGAAUUUUGCGCAAUGGGCUAACGCCUGACGCAGCAACGCCGCGUGGAGGAUGAAGGUCUUUGGAUUGUAAACUCCUGUCAGCAGGGAAAAAGCGACUCGGACUCAUACUCCGGGGAGUUGAUUGUACCUGCAGAGGAAGCCCCGGCUAACUCUGUGCCAGCAGCCGCGGUAAUACAGAGGGGGCAAGCGUUAUUCGGAAUUAUUGGGCGUAAAGGGCGCGUAGGCGGCCUGGCAAGUGGAAGGUGAAAUCCCUCGGCUUAACCGAGGAACUGCCUUCCAGACUGCUUGGCUUGAGACCAGGAGAGGUGAGUGGAAUUCCCAGUGUAGCGGUGAAAUGCGUAGAUAUUGGGAGGAACACCAGUGGCGAAGGCGGCUCACUGGACUGGUACUGACGCUGAGGCGCGAAAGCGUGGGGAGCAAACGGGAUUAGAUACCCCGGUAGUCCACGCCGUAAACGAUGAGUGCUUGGUGUAGCGGGUAUCGACCCCUGCUGUGCCGAAGUCAACACAUUAAGCACUCCGCCUGGGGAGUACGGUCGCAAGGCUGAAACUCAAAGGAAUU